This 607-nucleotide long non-coding RNA is filed under the name Setaria viridis. RNAcentral's name for it is "long non-coding RNA (SVIR_LNC002734)". The record is from RNAcentral. Lineage: Eukaryota; Viridiplantae; Streptophyta; Magnoliopsida; Poales; Poaceae.
GAUUAUUGAGGAGCAGCUUAGUUAAUUGGGGCUGUGGUGUGGCUGUGUUUUUUUAAUUUUCACGUGAGUCCCUUCUUUCUUAUUGCAGACAGACGGUGGUAAGCCACCUAGAUUCCAAUUUCUUUCUUAUUGCCAAGUGUUUAUACCCUGGAAUUUGCCAUGUUACUUUCUGUAUGCUUACGUGGCAAUCCAUGACAGUGAGAUGAAGAAGUGCACGUCGAUAAAAUUAUACAUAAAGGAAAAGAAACCGAUUUUAGAUGUUGGUGUGACGCGCCUACAUGGCAUGACACGUGGGACGUAUGACUAGAUUGAGCGGCACAAAGAAGUAUAGGGACUGAAACGGUCGUCAAGCCGUGUUGAGUGUUUGACGACGAGAACAGCUAUUCCGUCUAAUACUAACCUUUCUCGUUUUCAUUAAUGAAGCAAAUGAAGGUCUUGUCUGAUGUGCUGAUAGUUAUAUCUUUACGGGGAUUAAUAUGAAGGGUAGAUAUUCAACAUUAGUUUGGAUUAAUAAAUGAUAGGAACCGUGCCUGACAAUCUACAAUGAAAGAUAAUCUAGUAUGAAUGUUUUGUUCAGCACCCCCAAUUGUCCGAAGGCCACACUAUA